This 253-nucleotide ribosomal RNA is filed under the name uncultured bacterium. Its description in RNAcentral is "partial 16S ribosomal RNA". It matches the Rfam family "Bacterial small subunit ribosomal RNA", at positions 524 to 776 of the family's 1533-position model. The record is from RNAcentral.
UACGUAGGUCGCAAGCGUUGUUCGGAAUUACUGGGCGUAAAGCGUACGUAGGCGGCUUUGUAAGUUAGAGGUGAAAGCCCGGAGCUCAACUCCGGAACUGCCUUUAAGACUGCAUCGCUAGAAUUGUGGAGAGGUGAGUGGAAUUCCGAGUGUAGAGGUGAAAUUCGUAGAUAUUCGGAAGAACACCAGUGGCGAAGGCGACUCACUGGACACAUAUUGACGCUGAGGUACGAAAGCGUGGGGAGCAAACAGG